UCUCUGAUUCAGCGGCGGACGGGUGAGUAAUGCCUAGGAAUCUGCCUGAUAGUGGGGGACAACGUUUCGAAAGGAACGCUAAUACCGCAUACGUCCUACGGGAGAAAGCAGGGGACCUUCGGGCCUUGCGCUAUCAGAUGAGCCUAGGUCGGAUUAGCUAGUUGGUGAGGUAACGGCUCACCAAGGCGACGAUCCGUAACUGGUCUGAGAGGAUGAUCAGUCACACUGGAACUGAGACACGGUCCAGACUCCUACGGGAGGCAGCAGUGGGGAAUAUUGGACAAUGGGCGAAAGCCUGAUCCAGCCAUGCCGCGUGUGUGAAGAAGGUCUUCGGAUUGUAAAGCACUUUAAGUUGGGAGGAAGGGCAUUAACCUAAUACGUUAGUGUUUUGACGUUACCGACAGAAUAAGCACCGGCUAACUUCGUGCCAGCAGCCGCGGUAAUACGAAGGGUGCAAGCGUUAAUCGGAAUUACUGGGCGUAAAGCGCGCGUAGGUGGUUUGUUAAGUUGAAUGUGAAAGCCCCGGGCUCAACCUGGGAACUGCAUCCAAAACUGGCAAGCUAGAGUAUGGCAGAGGGUGGUGGAAUUUCCUGUGUAGCG
Molecule: ribosomal RNA, 600 nt
Filed under: uncultured bacterium
Lineage: Bacteria
Description: bacterial SSU rRNA
Rfam family: Bacterial small subunit ribosomal RNA
Source: RNAcentral